This is a non-coding RNA of Gorilla gorilla gorilla (western lowland gorilla), 117 nucleotides long. It matches the Rfam family "Metazoan signal recognition particle RNA". From Rfam's summary of the family: The signal recognition particle (SRP) is a universally conserved ribonucleoprotein. It is involved in the co-translational targeting of proteins to membranes. NCBI's taxonomy places the organism in Eukaryota, Metazoa, Chordata, Mammalia, Primates, Hominidae. The record is from Rfam.
GCUGGGCGUGGUGGCUCACACCUGUAAUCCCAGCACUUUGGGAGGCUGAGGCGGGUGGAUCACCUGAGGUCGGGAGUUCGAGACCAGCCUGACCAACAUGGAGAAACCCCGUCUCUA